CUUCAGAGGCUCCAAAUCUUUGGUUUGAAAUUUUAUUCUAGAUGUCUUUAAGCUGAGUGAGUCCAACUAUAUCAUGUGAUGGCAAUAUCACCAAAAUAUAUUACGAGAAGCGUGUGUCGCAUGUCGUAAUGUCAGUAGAAUAGAGAAUGGUUAGAAUGACUGCAUUUGAGACAAAUUCCCAAACAACUGAACUGAGUUGGCUGAACCAAACUCAUGGUGACUGAUGGGGCCCAUAACCCACAGGUCGCAGGAUCAGAACCUCGUUUUGAUACCAUGUGACAAUAGAGAUUACGAAUUGGAGAGAUAAAUCAUGUGUGUCAAUGUGAGCGCACAUAUCACAUAUAGACAUGACAAACAAGGAAACACAAGUUUAAAGAAGUUACAUGAUCAGUAUACACCAUAUUGACAAAUGUCCCCUUAUACUAUGUCCUAUUGCUAAAACGCAUGAAUCAACUCAUGUAAAGAGGGCUCAACUAGAAUGAGACAUAUAUACUUACCUCUAGAUAGAUCAGAUCAACAUACACUAGCCAUAUUUUAUGCUGCGGUCUAAAUGCAUGGCCUCCAUCACUUUUGCUUCGAAUGGUACUUGAAAAUGAAAGUUUGUGUAAAUUAGGGUAUCAUUUUAGAGUGAUGUGAUACCUCUUUACAAAGCAUAGACUAUUUAUUGAGUAAUGAGGUGCCUGGCUCAGUUUUGUGGAAUUUAACACGUGGGUGUUUUGAUAUAGUUGAUUACAUAUACAAGGCAUUGAUGAAAUGAAAUUAAAAAUCAGGAAAAGCAUGCAUAGAUUUACUGAUUUGUAUGAUGCAUUGUCCUUCACUAAUGAGUGGGGAGGGGAUACUGUUUUAUAGGGCAAACUACAAGUAUUUAAUGUGUUUAGGGGAUGUCUUUUCCGGGAGAUGUUGAUGCUUGUUUUUUUCAAAAAUUCGUGAUGGGUCUUCAUUAUCGCGUGAUUUGUCUCCCCUUUUAUUUUGGUUUGGAGCCAAAGAAAGCAUAAAUAUGGGUCAGUUAGAAUACAUAUAGUGUAGUGUUUUAAAGAGAGAGACGAGAGUUAUUAUGUUUGAACUUAAUAUGAUUUUGCUGAUAACUCCUGUUCCUACCGCAGCUGCAUCGUUGCUAUCCAAAUCUCCAUGUGUAUGCAUAUGGAAGUCUUCCAUAUGUUGAUUCAGUGGUGGCAAGAGCCUGUUCAGAUUCUGUGACAAGUGGGAUCAAUCCUCGGACUUCCUGCAGCUGCCAUUAUGGCACUUUCUCGAUAUUCAAAAACUGAUACAGCAUUGAUCUAUAGACUCGCCUGUCAAUUUCUAUAUCUCGGCCAAUAUCAAUCACAGGGAAUUAAAAAACCGGCACCUGGCUAGGUAUUUAACUCUGAUCGAGUCUCAAGUGGAGAAUAUGGUCAACACGUUUGUGGGGGCCAAUAUUCUAAUAAGGAUAAAGGUAUAACUCUUUCAUCCUUUGCAAACUAUGUAUUGUGAACAUGAAUAGGAUAUGUCGCUGUUUCCGUAUCUCUCCCAUCUUAUUACCCUUGAUUUGGUUUUAAAAUUUGUGAAUUUAUAGUCAUGAAAGAGAUCCUUAAGUUAAACGGUUUAUUUCUUUGAGAAGGAA
Molecule: long non-coding RNA, 1600 nt
Organism: Syzygium oleosum
Lineage: Eukaryota; Viridiplantae; Streptophyta; Magnoliopsida; Myrtales; Myrtaceae
Exons: 2
Source: RefSeq, a predicted model, not a curated record